Molecule: long non-coding RNA, 2161 nt
Organism: Oenanthe melanoleuca
Lineage: Eukaryota; Metazoa; Chordata; Aves; Passeriformes; Muscicapidae
Exons: 6
Source: RefSeq, a predicted model, not a curated record
GUCACAGUUGGUCAUACUUGGUGAGCUCAAGGCAGACUGCAAGCAUCACCAUCCGCCCAUUGGUCGGGUUCCUGUUCUCUCCCGCCUCACUGUGGACAUGACAUGGAAGCUGCUUCUUCACCUCACAUGCCAUCAGCUUCCAAUACUCAUGACUGAAGCCAAGGAUGAGAAGCUUCUUUCUGCUUGGGAGCUGCCCAGAUGAGACUUUACACUCACAUGGGAGAGUGAUCUAAGUUACUUUCACCUGACAGACAUCAACCAACAGAAAAUAGCACAUCUCAGAUUUUGACAAUUGUAUUCAAUUUUGGGCAUGGUUUCACUAAGACACUAGCAAAUGUUUAAUUUUCAUCAUGCUUGGAUGCCACUCUGGAAAUCAUCUGAUGUCAGUGGAUGGGCACAGCUCAUCCUAAAUGAUACAGAAGAUACACAAGAUACAGAAGUCUUGACAUCAAAUUUUGCUGGAUUUCACAGUGUGAAAACAUCACAAUCAGUUUGAAAUUCAACUGAUCCAUGGAUAAUAUAAAAGUUUCACAAAACUAUAAGGGAUCAGUCUGCUGACUUGGUGGUAUUUGGAGCACAAGGUGAGAGACAGAGAGCUGGAUUUGUCCUGACUUGGGAAGAGAAGGUGAAACAAGACCUUAUGAUUUUAUUCAUUUUUUAUAACGUGCUUCUAAAGAAGACAGAGCCAAACUUCUGGAGGUGCACAGGAAAGAGGCAAUAAACACAGGCUGCAACCAAGGAAAUUCCAGUUAAGCAUUAGGAAUCUUUCCUCAUCAAUGAGAGUGGUCACAGACUGGAACAGGUGUGCAGGGGGACAAGGAGUCUCCAUUCUUGCAGGUGUUUAAAGCCCAACUGGACACAGCCCUGAGCAGCCCGAGUUGUCUUUGUAGGUGGAUCUAAUUUCAAAGUUGGAUCUGCUCUAAACAUGCCUGUUGGACCAGGCAGCUUCCAAGGAUGAGUUAUUCCCUGACAGAGAGAGCUGCUGCAAGGCUGCUCUGCUCUAUCAGAAAGUGCCUUAUAACAGACCCUGAUCUAACAGCAUCAACAACAGAGCAUCAACUUUUAGGUGCUUCUCCCUGGCCCCAUUUGCCAGCAGGUUAUUAAGAAGGGUUAUUGGAUUGCAGAUAUGCCCCAGAAUGUGUUGUGCAUUCUAUCAAGGCACAAAAACUUUUUGUAGUUGUGUUUUCUCAGGUGGGAGUUGUUCCUUCACGAGCACUGCCUCAAACACCUUACAAGAAAAGGGAGGUGCAGGCUUUGUUUUCUUACCUUGUGCUGACAGAAGAGACACCCUCUCGUUAUGCCUGCACUAGAAUAAAACAACUCUUGAGCUGGUUUUGUUUUUCUGUGUGUAUGUUUGCUUUUGUUUUUCACAUCCCUAAAUGCUUCCUAGUGUUACAACAAAAAACAAGCAAACAAACAAAAAACCCAAACAGGAUCUGAGCUUCAUGUUACAUUUGUAUCCAACAUCUGCAAUCUAAUCUCUCCAAAACAAGGGGUUUGUUUAGAAUGAGUCUGGAUUCUAAACAAACAAGUGAAGAGUUAGAAGAUACUCUUAAAGCACAUACAAACCACACAUUAAAUAUACACUGCACAGGACUUGGAGAUUUUACUUUAAUGCCCAGUUCUGCACACAAACCCUAAAGGAACUUGGCCAAGAUAUUUUGUUUUUCUCUGUCUUGUUUCUCUCCCAUAAAAAAGAAAAUGAUAUCACCUUUUUGCCACUCUUCGCCUUUCUAAAUACACAGGGCUGAAAAACUCAAAGGAAAAGAGCUCUGUCCUAUUAUAUUAUGAACUCACCAGCAGUCAAGUUAUCAAAAAAAAAAAAAAAAAUAUGGUUAGCAUAUGCUGAACAAAAAGAGAAAGAGAGAAAAAGAGCAAGUACUACCUUGCAAGUAUACUAUUGAUUUGGCUUAAUUGAAAAACUUAUGACUCUUGGAGGGUGAAGGCUUUUCCCACAUCCUUAUGCAGCACUGUCUGUCUGUUGUGCCAUCCAGACUGUGUCCAUAAGUCCACAACAAAAGUCUCCCUCCAGGAUAGCUUCUUUUACAAGAAACAUUUCCCACUGAGAUCCAGAUUUAGAAAACACAAUCCCCUGGGAUCAGUGUGAGGAAUCAGAUGGAAUCUAAGCAGUGGCACUGAAAGCAGACACCUGACACCUGAG